UAGGGAAUCUUCGGCAAUGGACGAAAGUCUGACCGAGCAACGCCGCGUGAGUGAAGAAGGUUUUCGGAUCGUAAAACUCUGUUGGUAGAGAAGAACGUUGGCGAGAGUGGAAAGCUCAUCAAGUGACGGUAACUACCCAGAAAGGGACGGCUAACUACGUGCCAG
RNAcentral lists this ribosomal RNA (165 nucleotides) under uncultured bacterium. Its description in RNAcentral is "partial 16S ribosomal RNA". It matches the Rfam family "Bacterial small subunit ribosomal RNA", at positions 355 to 511 of the family's 1533-position model. The record is from RNAcentral.